Molecule: ribosomal RNA, 683 nt
Filed under: Umbelopsis ramanniana
Lineage: Eukaryota; Fungi; Mucoromycota; Umbelopsidomycetes; Umbelopsidales; Umbelopsidaceae
Description: eukaryotic LSU rRNA
Rfam family: Eukaryotic large subunit ribosomal RNA
Source: RNAcentral
CGGAGGAAAAGAAACUAACAAGGAUUCCCUCAGUAACGGCGAGUGAAGCGGGAAGAGCUCAAAUUUAAAAUCUGGUUUGCUUGCAAGCCCGAGUUGUAGUCUGAAGAAACGUUUUCCAUAAGCACUGAGGCAAAAGUCCCUUGGAACAGGGCAUCAUAGAGGGUGAGAAUCCCGUCCAUGGUCUCAAGUUGUUUAUUUUGUGAUACGUUUUCAAAGAGUCAGGUUGUUUGGGAAUGCAGCCUAAAAUGGGUGGUAAAUUUCAUCUAAAGCUAAAUAUUGGCGAGAGACCGAUAGCGAACAAGUACCGUGAGGGAAAGAUGAAAAGAACUUUGAAAAGAGAGUUAAACAGUACGUGAAAUUGUUGAAAGGGAACCGUUUGAAGCCAGUCUUACUUGCCUGUGAUCAAUUUUUGCUUCGGCAUGAAUGCACUCUCGGGUAUGGUAGGCCAACGACAGUUUGGAAUGCGAGAAAAAAAUAGAGGAAAUGUGGCCUUCGGGUGUUAUAGUCCUUUGUAAAAUAUCGUGUUCUGGACUGAGGAUCGCAGCAAAAAYGUGGGCAGGUGGAUUUCUGUGGUAACUGUCGRUUAGGACAACUUGUUGACCUAGUCUUCCUUAGCCUCACUAUUUACCUUGCUUCUAAUUUGCUUAGGUCGUUGGCAUAAUGGCUUUAAAUGACCCGUCUUG